RNAcentral lists this non-coding RNA (128 nucleotides) under Chelonia mydas (Green sea turtle). Lineage: Eukaryota; Metazoa; Chordata; Testudines; Cheloniidae. The record is from RNAcentral.
AUGUUGUAUGAAAGGAGAGAAGGUUAGCACUCCCCUUGAUAAGGAUGGAAGAGGUCCUAGUGACCUUUACAACACGCAUAUGGUUAAGGCAUUGCCACUUACUUCAUGGCAUCUAACCAAGUUUUUUU